Molecule: small RNA, 131 nt
Filed under: Salmonella enterica subsp. enterica
Lineage: Bacteria; Pseudomonadati; Pseudomonadota; Gammaproteobacteria; Enterobacterales; Enterobacteriaceae
Description: RtT sRNA
Rfam family: RtT RNA
About the family: This family represents a bacterial cis-regulatory element known as RtT RNA. The exact function of RtT is unknown although it is thought that it may be involved in changing the cellular response in relation to amino acid starvation.
Source: RNAcentral
UAUCUCUCCGUACGGGGAAGGAUGAGAAGCUUCGACUAAGGUUCGAUUCGAGCGAAGCGAGAGAACGUUGCCAACGGCAACGGCCCGAAGGGCGAAGCGCGCAGCGCUGAGUCAUCCUUCCCCCACCACCA